Molecule: long non-coding RNA, 326 nt
Organism: Esox lucius (northern pike)
Lineage: Eukaryota; Metazoa; Chordata; Actinopteri; Esociformes; Esocidae
Source: Ensembl
GCCAGGAGUGGAGGUCCAACCUACAACUUCAAGUCAAAUGGAAGAAAGUAACACUCUUGGAACUCCAAGACCUUGUUUUCGGACCUGUGAGCAACGUGUCCCACCAAACUCUGUCAGUUAUACGUUCAACAGAUCAGGACAUCACAACGCCUUUUCUGAUGAUACGUCACGUCUCUGACUGGACACAGACAACUGAGUGUGAGUACCAGCAACAUGUUCAAGAAGGACCUCUACAACCACAUUGGUUGAAUCUGUUUCAAAUCUUCCCGACCACUCACAUGGCAGAACGAUGCCAGGGUCAGAUCACUUGGCUUCACACUCCAUUU